Molecule: ribosomal RNA, 500 nt
Filed under: uncultured bacterium
Lineage: Bacteria
Description: partial 16S ribosomal RNA
Rfam family: Bacterial small subunit ribosomal RNA
Source: RNAcentral
AUUGAACGCUGGCGGAAUGCUUUACACAUGCAAGUCGAACGGCAGCACGGACUUCGGUCUGGUGGCGAGUGGCGAACGGGUGAGUAAUGUAUCGGAACGUGCCCAGUCGUGGGGGAUAACGUAGUGAAAAUUACGCUAAUACCGCAUACGAUCUAUGGAUGAAAGCGGGGGAUCGCAGGGCCUCGCGCGAUUGGAGCGGCCGAUAUCAGAUUAGGUAGUUGGUGGGGUAAAGGCCCACCAAGCCAACGAUCUGUAGCUGGUCUGAGAGGACGGCCAGCCACCCUGGAACUGAGACACGGUCCAGACUCCUACGGGAGGCAGCAGUGGGGGAUUGUGGACAAUGGGCGAAAGCCUGAUCCAGCCAUUCCGCGUGCAGGAUGAAGGCCCUCUGGUUGUAAACUGCUUUUGUACAGAACGAAAAGGUUUCUACUAAUACUAGGAGCUCAUGACGGUACUGUAAGAAUAAGCACCGGCUAACUACGUGCCAGCCGCCGCAGUAA